RNAcentral lists this ribosomal RNA (129 nucleotides) under Caldibacillus debilis. RNAcentral's name for it is "partial 16S ribosomal RNA". It matches the Rfam family "Bacterial small subunit ribosomal RNA", at positions 1 to 119 of the family's 1533-position model. The record is from RNAcentral. Lineage: Bacteria; Bacillati; Bacillota; Bacilli; Caryophanales; Bacillaceae.
UAUUUGAUGGAGAGUUUGAUCCUGGCUCAGGACGAACGCUGGCGGCGUGCCUAAUACAUGCAAGUCGAGCGGGGCUUGAGGAGGGCUUGCCCUUCGAGAGCCCAGCGGCGGACGGGUGAGUAACACGUG